Long non-coding RNA from Triticum urartu, 4509 nucleotides. RefSeq lists it as uncharacterized. Lineage: Eukaryota; Viridiplantae; Streptophyta; Magnoliopsida; Poales; Poaceae. The record is from RefSeq and is a predicted model, not a curated record.
AGCCCCUCCCUCAUCCCCGCUCAUCAUCGCCGCUGCCUGCUACUCCCGGGGCGGCCGAGCGCCAACGGUGCGGCAAUGGCUGUUCCAGGAGGCGAGGGCGAGGGCACGGGUGUUGGGCGUUGGGUGCGUGGACAAAGAGGGAGGAGUCAACUUGAGGGAGGAGAUGAGAGAGGUGAGGAUUGGCAGCGAUUGCAGGGAGAGGAGGAGGAGUCUGGAGGCAACGGACGAUUUUUUUAGGGUGGUUGGCGACCUACAGCCUACAGGCAACGUCUGUAGCAGCAGCAGGCGACCUGCAGCAGCUCCUUCCUACCUUCCAUGGACGAGCUCUUCGGAGACGCCGUCCAGCCCGACCACGGCCACGACUACCCCACGCACAAGAGGAAGGUUGAUUCAUUUGUCAAAUUCAUUCCACCGAAGCCAUCUGCUCCGUCCACCAACCCGCCCAGAAAGGUAGUUACAGUGAAUUGAUGUUCGCACUGAGGCCGGAGGCGAGAGGCGAGGGCACGGAGGUCGGUGGCAAGUGCUCAGGAGAGAAGAGGAAGGCGGCGGUGCUGGGCGGUGGCUGCGGUUUACAUGAGAGGGAGGUGACCCGCCCAGAAAGCUCUAUUGAUGGAUGAUUUCUGCCAUAUUUAUGGAGGGGGAGGACGCCAACUACUAGGAGAAGGAUCAGUUUAGCAAGUACAUGAUGUAAUUCUCUUAUGAUUAUGGAUUGCUGAGAAGCGCAACCUUUUGAUCUUCGAGAAGCGCAACCUUUUGAUCUUCGAGAACCGCAAGUUUGCUGACAUUGAAAACACAUUCAUUAUGCAAGAUGAAUGGUGAGAAAUGUGUUAUUCCCUAUCCUUCCAUUCUAUUUGCAUAUUCGCGCAGUAUGCUUAGUUUUUUCCUUUCAAGAUGAAUAUUCUACACAUGAGAGCAAUAUACUUGGUAUUAUUGAUGCUCAUAUAAUUCCUGGACCUGGAAUUGUUGAUGGCUUGAGGCUUAAAGUAUGUUAUGUGUUGCAUACCUAAUAAAUAUUAGCAAGCUAAUGUUGCAGCUUGACAGAUGCUGUGAUAACUUCUCCUUUUUCUGUUUGUUAAUAUCCACUUCGAACUGAGCAGCCAUGAUCCGGAUUUCCUCUAUGUAGCUAUGAGAUGCAUGCAGUUCGUUAUUGUGUAUCGUGCGCUAAAACAUUGAUUAUUUGACAAUGAACACAUGGCAAUGCCUUAACUAUUCAACUUGCCUAGCUCAGUAUUUUAACCAAAUAGAGAAGUUUUUUUGUUGCUUUCCCUUUUGUUAGAUAUUUUGCUUUUUGUAUGUUGAGGGGAGAUGGAUAUGGCCUCAGGACUAAACGCACAAACCACAUGAAGUGAUCUGAUGGUAGGUAAAGUAUUUUUAUUGGCAAUGCUAAUGUCUGGACCAGCUCAAUGGUUUUAACUCUAUGAUGUUUUGUUUAGCAUAUCACAUGUACAAAUGCAUAUAUACAAAUUGUGGUAGGCAACUCACUAUUUAGACGACACGACUAUUCUCUUGAUAAGGAGAGUCCCACCAUACUCAUGUGAGAGUUAGGCGUGGUAGUGGGUAGUGUUUUCUCAUCAUCCAUUAUGUGUUUCUUCUGUCUAGCUCGAAGUUGCUUAGUUAGAUAAUGAUUCGCAAAUUCCAGCAUUGCAUGUUGCCUGACACUUUUGCAUUAGCAUUGAAUUGCAUCCUGCAUUUUUGCAGCCCGCGAGGCGUGUAAAUGUUGGACUAUUGUUUCUCCGCUGAUGCACAUGUUUCGCCACAGAGACAGUACUCUGUGUGUGUGUGAUCUCUGGAAUUAGUUUUUAUGUUUCUCUUUGUUGAGUACUUUUGUAAUCUCCACGGGUGUGUUUCGUAUUUUCUAUGUAUCCUCUGUCAUUCUUUUAAGUGUUUAAUGUUUUCUUUUGUAGUUUUGAUAUUUAGGUGCAGUCACGUUUCAUUUGUCGCAUACCUGCACCCGUUAGGAAAAUCAUAGUUUCAUUUCAAUCAUGUUUCUUUAAGUUGUUCAGUGUUUGUUCAUUAUGUAGUAGAGUAAGCAGUACAUUCUGUCCAUCAGUUAAAUCACUCAUGUCACAUUCAGUUGAUUGAUUAUGUUUAGUUUUUGUUCAUUUCUCUUUGUUCCUUCAGUUUUUUGUUCCUUUAUUUAGUCAUUGUGCUUGCAUCAUUUGCCAGUAUUUUAGUCCAUCUCAAUAGACCCCUAUGAUUCUUGAUAGUUUAUCUCUUUCGUAGAUCAGACUUUUCCACUUUGUUAGUUAGGCUAAUUUAUGCUUUUUUCAGUUUUUAGUCUUUACAUGAUUUAGUUGGACAAUGUUUUUGGUAUUUCAAUAGUUCAGUAGUUUCAUACUUUCAUUUAAUUAAAUAGUCUUGUUUUUAGUCUCAGUACUUCAGGUUUAGUUUCCAAACAAGUACUUUUUUACUCAUGUGGUUUUCGGUCUUUUGACUAUAUGUGGUUUUCAAUCUUUUCAUCUCUUGGUUUACUUGUCAUUCUUAAUUUAUCCGCCUUACUAUUCUCAGUCUUGUUUUUUAUUGAGAGACACAACCUUUUCAAUACACUUCUAUUUUAAUUUUUCAUAACAACGGCUGUUUUUUUGUUGCAACUUUGACUCUAUGCUAUUAAAGUAAACCAAGUAUAUUAAAAUAAACCAACUAUAUUCAUAUAUGCCUCAGUAAUUGGUACAGCCGAUUUUUAUCGAGAGAGACAACAUUUCAAAACACUUCUAUCUUCAUUUUUCAUACCAACGAAUAUUUUUUGUGCUGACAUGUGAGUUAAUUAUUUGGAAAAAAUAUAAUCAUAUAUGUAUUGCCAACAAUUUUUAUGUUUAAAGCAACCAAUUUUGUGAAAAGAGUGGAGAGAAAGAUACAUGUGCAAUUUCUUGAUGUUACAGCGGAUGGAUGCUAGAUCUUUAAACAUAAGCACAGAUGAAUAGGUACAAAUUCGAGGAAAGGCCAAUGAAAUAGUUGUCUGUACACAUAUGUGCCAGUUUUAUACCUGGUUGUCUGGUUGCAUUAUUUGUCCGGUUUCAAUUCAGUUUGAGUAGAUUGUUAUCCGUGAGCGAUACUUGCCACUAUUUGUACCCAUGCACCAAUUUACAUACCUAUUUUAGGCACAGAAACCAACCAUGACUGAAAAUUAUGUAUAUAUAAUUUACUAUGAUUCAUGGUGAGAAAAUCAUGAUUUAAUAAACGAAAGGUGGUUUGUUUUGCUAACAGUACUGAGUAUAAAUGUAAAUCGCAGAUCGUACGCUGCUGCUACGGGCUCCAUGUUGUUUAUGCUAGACAACACAAUGGUGCUUGUGUUAUCUAUAGUUGAAGUCGCAGUUUAAUAUUCUUUGCUUUAUGCUUGUGUUAUAUGUGGUUGAAGGGACAUCCUUGUUAGUUUGCAUGGUCUAUGUAAGAAGGGGCAGUACAAUGCUUCUCAAGUUUGUUUAUAUUUUGAUGGCUGUUGAAUUCUGGACAAUGGAGAUGUGAAUUUGUUACGUACAUAGGUACUAGGCAUAGGAUACUUUACUCAUUGAUGACAUGUAGUUUUAGAGAACUUCUAAAAAUUCCAAUUCAGGUUUUCUGUGUUCCAUUCAGGAAGAACGCAUAGUCUGCACUGGGGUAUAAAAUUAUCUACUACUUACCUUUGUGUCUCGACAUAUGAUUGUGAUGCAUCGUGCUGCCAGAGGCCAACAUUAUCCAGUAUCAUAGCGAUGCUAAAAAUGACUAUUGGUUACUCCGCAUAUUCUCAUCUGAUUUCUCAUAUAUAGAUAUUAAUUUCCUUUCAUGGGAGGCCUUCAUUACAUUUCAGCGGCGGUUGCGGAUGUGAUUGGCGGUUGAGGGAGGGUCUCCGACUAGAGCAGCAGGAGCAAGGUGCUCGAGGAAGUUCAGGACAAUUUUCUGGAUUAAUAUCUAUACUGGAGAUCUAGGAGUCCACCCGAAUUCAGUCUCCAAGAAGCCGUUCAUCCAGGAUCCACCAAAGUUCAAAUGAUAUGUGAAAAGCGUGUGCUAGAUGUGGCCCCUAUCCAGCGUUUUGACCCGUCCACUCAGGUGCUUUUGUCUAGGUGGUAACACAACAAGCUGCUUAUAUUAUAGAAACUUAUUAUACGUACAUUCCUAUGUUCAUUCUGCUUGCAUGUUAGAGAAAGAGCUUCUGCCCCUAUGUGAGUAAUCCUAUGGGAAUUAGCAACGUUGGUUGUACUUUCAAGCGGGCUGAAUCCAAUGCAAGUUUUUGGAGCAGUUGGGUUCCAGAACAAACGACUAGGUAUUCCCAAAGAGGUCAUUCCACUGGUGGCUAGCAUAAUAUCUUCAUGUCGGGACAACAAUCCAAGCAAGCAACCAUCAUUCUACCAGCUCUUGUCAUCGCUGAAGAAAUUACAGUGGUUACAUUGUUACAGAAAGCCUAUGACAAUUUGCGAGUGUUGUUUGUGCAAUAUACUGGUUUUAUGGCAGGUGCAUGUAUGAAUUCAGAUGGUAGUGGUCUCCUUGUUUAUAGUUACAAGAAUAAUAAAAAUAUUGAUAAUGGUCUUUCCACUA